RNA transcript from Oncorhynchus nerka (sockeye salmon), 3214 nucleotides. It is a transcript of the gene named glyceraldehyde-3-phosphate dehydrogenase-like, with no coding region annotated. NCBI's taxonomy places the organism in Eukaryota, Metazoa, Chordata, Actinopteri, Salmoniformes, Salmonidae. The transcript has 15 exons. The record is from RefSeq and is a predicted model, not a curated record.
AAUGGGAAGAUAAAAUGCGAGCGCACCUUUACUCGUCCCCGCUUCCCCUUUCGAACAAGUGGACAGACAGAGGCUAUACAAGAACGAGGACUAUACCAUAUCAGGCAAAAUGGUGAAGAUUGGGAUCAAUGGAUUUGGGCGUAUUGGGCGUCUGGUGACCCGUGCCGCUGCCAAGGGCGGCAAGGUUGAGGUCGUCGCCAUCAAUGACCCCUUCAUUGACCUGGACUACAUGGUCUACAUGUUCAAGUAUGACUCCACCCACGGUGUUUGGAAGGACAGCGAAGUGAAGCAGGAAGGUGGAAAGUUGAUCAUUGGCAAUCUGCACAUCACAGUUUUCCAUGAGAGGGACCCCACCGCCAUCAAGUGGGGCGAGGCUGGCGCGGACUACGUCGUCGAGUCGACUGGUGUGUUCACCACCAUCGAGAAGGCCUCUGCUCAUCUGCAGGGAGGUGCCAAGAGGGUCAUCAUCUCCGCUCCCAGCGCCGACGCACCCAUGUUCGUGAUGGGCGUCAACCACGAGAAGUACGACAACUCCCUGAAGGUUGUCAGCAACGCCUCCUGCACAACUAACUGCCUGGCUCCCAUCGCCAAGGUUAUCAACGACAACUUUGGCAUCGUUGAGGGUCUUAUGAGCACUGUUCACGCGAUCACAGCCACACAGAAGACUGUUGACGGGCCCUCCGGUAAGCUGUGGAGAGAUGGACGUGGUGCCAGCCAGAACAUUAUCCCCGCCUCCACCGGCGCCGCCAAGGCCGUGAGCAAGGUUAUCCCCGAGCUGAAUGGCAAGCUAACCGGCAUGGCCUUCCGUGUCCCCACUCCCAAUGUGUCCGUGGUUGACCUGACUGUCCGUCUUGAGAAGGCCGCGCCUUAUGACGAGAUCAAGAAGGUCAUCAAGGCUGCUGCUGAAGGACCCAUGAAGGGAAUUCUGGGAUACACAGAAGACCAGGUGGUGUCCACAGACUUCAACGGCGACUGCCGCUCCUCAAUCUUUGACGCCGGCGCAGGCAUUGCCCUCAACGACCACUUUGUCAAGCUGGUCUCAUGGUACGACAAUGAGUUUGGCUACAGCAACCGUGUUGUUGACCUGUGUCUGCACAUGGCCUCCAAGGAGUAAAGUUUCCACACCACACUUCCAACCACUCACGACCUCUUCCUUCUCCUGAACGGACAUCCAAACAGUCCUCCGCCAGUAAAGUCUAUAGCAAUGUUUUAUAAUAUGUCACACCUCUGUUCUGUUCAGAAGACUGAGUCGGAUUUUUGCCUGCAGAAUAUUCCUGUCCACCGCGCUGUGCCUUAGUUCACAAUAAAAUUAAUUUGUUUCUGAACAAAACCUUUUUUUUUUUGUCGUCUCAGUCCUCAGGCGCACAUCUUGUAAAUGCAGGAAUUGUUCAAAUCUACGCAUGAAUUUAGAUCUGUUUACAUUUUAUUUCUGUGAAUCAAACUUGUUAUUCAGGGUACGUUUCAUUACAGCUCAACAGAGGCUGUAAAACUAAGCAUUUGGACCAUGAAUGGCAUGCUAAAAUAUUCCCAUUUACUCAAGUCUGAGUUUUAAAAUGAUGUUGACAAGAGAAGUGUAGACGGAUUUAUCUUGUCUGUCAACACCUAGUGGAAAGUGAAAGUAUACCGUUUCUGAGGAGUGAUUGAGAGUUCUUCAGAAGUGGGUUUAACUUUAAGAAUCUUUUUAACUGAAAGCAUUUUCCAGAUGUAAGCAAAAAGUAGACCAGUUCAGUAGUGCAUUGUAUUCUAAAGAAAAAUGCUUGACUCCAUAUUGUUUUUGGUUCCUUAAACGGCUUACCUGAUGGCAGGAGCUAUAGUCAGUGAUUGGCAGAUCAAGUCAAUAGCUCAGUGCAUUCAAAUCACACACAGAGCAUUGCUCUUUAAACACGAGACAAGGAACGAGAACAGGCAAAGAGACUAUUGUUCAUGUAAGUAUUGAACUUUCUAUGGGUUUAUCAUAACUGUCACUAACUUUUUUUUUUUUUACCACGACAGGGAAAACGGGUGCGCACUUCCAAUCUAUUACUAUUCACUUAACGAUUAUUAAGUAUUUCAGUGCAUUCGGAAAGUAUUCAGACCUCUUAGCUUUUGCCAAAUGUUACGUUACAUCCUUGCUUCUGUGAUCUAGUUUACAAAUAUGGUCCGUGAUCAAGAUGACAUCGUUCAGGGUUAGCAAGAGCUGAAAACUGUAUUUAUUUACCAUUCAUCUGAGGCACUAGAGAUGCAAAUUUGUGGCAAUUCCAAGGCAAUAAUAAAUGCUAUAAUACCACAUUUUGAUUUUUCAAAAUAAACAUGGAACUUGUGAAAAAUACUCUUGUUUAAAUCAUCACCAAUGUAAACAAUUAGAAGUUUUCCUGAAAAAUAAACACUUUAUUUUUCUCAUCUGAAUCAAAGGUGUUGCGUUUUGGGGAUAAGCACGAGAUAAGUUGUCUGUCCGAUGGCGUGUUCGAAUGGGCCUCGCAAUCUCAUAUUUAUCAGAUGGGGAAAUCGUAAAUAUGACAUGAAUGGGUUUGUCUUCGUCUUAUUGCCAAAGUUAGAUUGUGUCUUUUAAAGGCUAAAUGGGUUUUGCAUGCACCAUCUUGCGCUCUUUCUCUCUGUCUCAUAGAGGAGGAAGAUAAUGUUGGGAAAACCUCUUCCAGCCCGACCACAGCUGCUUGUAUAAAUGUCAAAUUCACAAGUCAAAGCAAAGAAAAAGUCAUGGCUCCUGUACCCACAGCCCUGCAUGUUGAGGAGGAAGAAGCACUUUCCUCCAUUCAAGGUCUUACUGCCUAUGUCCACUCCCCUAACACAGUGGAUGGCAGGCCAGAGAUUGACAUUAGAAAAGAUGCUGGGGUGAGAUCUACACAAGAUGCGGCAGGAGUUCAUGACCAACAGCGAUCUGUCCACAAUAAGAGGGCGUGCCCUGUCAGCAAGUCAUGCUCUUCUCUCCACUCAUCCAAGUGACUGCAACCGUCCUCGACCAAACGAGAGGAAAUCGCGUAAUGGGGCAUCAGCGCUUGAUGAUCAGCAACAACGUCCCUGACAUUGGAGGUCUUUCUACUCCAAGAACUCUUAGAUUAUCCCCAGGAAAUUCUCAUUUUUCUGGGGUCUUUUGGGAAUUCCCCUAAUCUCUCAACUCUUUCCAAUACCAAUACAUGUAAUUCACUUACGUUACACUUGUUGGAGAACUGUGCAUUGAAAUUACAACCAUUAUUAGGGAUAAAGGCUCAUCUGAAAA